RNAcentral lists this long non-coding RNA (468 nucleotides) under Helianthus annuus (common sunflower). The record is from RNAcentral. Lineage: Eukaryota; Viridiplantae; Streptophyta; Magnoliopsida; Asterales; Asteraceae.
UAGUUAUCAGAGGAAACAAGGGAGGAAGAUGAAACCAAAGGGUUUCAUGUCGACCGCGGUUGCCGCAGGGGUUAAAAAUGAAACCUUUGGACUAAACUGGCAAAAUGGCCCAAACCACAGGGACUAAAAUGGCAUUUAACUCUUUGUAAAAAGAAACAUAUCAAGGUUCAAGCAUUUUUAUAAAGUAAAUACAAAUGUAUAUUUAUGUUAACAACACUUCUAUAACCUUCAUUUGCGCGUGUGAGGUGACCUCGGUGUUCCAUCAUUCAACCUUCAACUCUUCACGGAACUACCAAAAGAAGCUUUGCAAAACAGAUUGUGACCGAUGAUUCCAGUAGGAAUUGCUAGAAACGCAUUUAAACUUUAUUGCUCGUUGCGUUGUAAUUUCCUUUCAAUCCUGUUGUAUUCUGUUUCCAAUACUUGUAAUAAUUAAUUAUCAAUGAAAUGAAAUUUAAUUAUUUGAAUACU